RNAcentral lists this ribosomal RNA (573 nucleotides) under uncultured bacterium. Its description in RNAcentral is "bacterial SSU rRNA". It matches the Rfam family "Bacterial small subunit ribosomal RNA", at positions 62 to 613 of the family's 1533-position model. The record is from RNAcentral.
UCGAGCGAACAGAUAAGGGAGCUUGCUCCUUUGGACGUUAGGCGGCGGACGGGUGAGUAACACGUGGAUAACCUACCUAUAAGACUGGGAUAACUUCGGGAAACCGGAGCUAAUACCGGAUAAGAUUUUGAACCGCAUGGUUCAAUAGUGAAAGACGGCCUUGCUGUCACUUAUAGAUGGAUCCCCGCCGUAUUAGCUAGUUGGUAAGGUAACGGCUUACCAAGGCAACGAUACGUAGCCGACCUGAGAGGGUGAUCGGCCACACUGGAACUGAAACACGGUCCAAACUCCUACGGGAGGCAGCAGUAGGGAAUCUUCCGCAAUGGGCGAAAGCCUGACGGAGCAACGCCGCGUGAGUGAUGAAGGUCUUCGGAUCGUAAAACUCUGUUAUCAGGGAAGAACAAACGUGUAAGUAACUGUGCACGUCUUGACGGUACCUGAUCAGAAAGCCACGGCUAACUACGUGCCAGCAGCCGCGGUAAUACGUAGGUGGCAAGCGUUAUCCGGAAUUAUUGGGCGUAAAGCGCGCGUAGGCGGUUUUUUAAGUCUGAUGUGAGAGCCCGGGGGCUCGAC